This 274-nucleotide ribosomal RNA is filed under the name uncultured bacterium. RNAcentral's name for it is "partial 16S ribosomal RNA". It matches the Rfam family "Bacterial small subunit ribosomal RNA", at positions 523 to 796 of the family's 1533-position model. The record is from RNAcentral.
AUACGGAGGGUGCAAGCGUUAAUCGGAAUUACUGGGCGUAAAGCGUACGUAGGCGGUUCGUUAAGUUAGAUGUGAAAGCCCCGGGCUCAACCUGGGAACUGCAUUUAAAACUGGCUUGCUGGAGUUGAGUAGAGGGGAGUGGAAUUUCAGGUGUAGCGGUGAAAUGCGUAGAGAUCUGAAGGAACACCAGUGGCGAAGGCGACUCCCUGGACUCGAACUGACGCUGAGGUACGAAAGCGUGGGUAGCAAACGGGAUUAGAUACCCUAGUAGUCC